UACGUAGGGGGCAAGCGUUGUCCGGAAUCAUUGGGCGUAAAGCGCGUGUAGGCGGCUGGCUAAGUCCGCUCUGAAAGCCCGGGGCUCAACCCCGGGAGGCGGGUGGAUACUGGUCAGCUCGAGUCCGGAAGAGGAGUGUGGAAUUCCUGGUGUAGCGGUGAAAUGCGUAGAUAUCCGGAGGAACACCGGUGGCGAAGGCGGCUUCCUGGACCGACACUGACGCUGAGGCGCGAAAGCUAGGGGAGCAAACGGG
RNAcentral lists this ribosomal RNA (253 nucleotides) under uncultured bacterium. RNAcentral's name for it is "partial 16S ribosomal RNA". It matches the Rfam family "Bacterial small subunit ribosomal RNA", at positions 524 to 776 of the family's 1533-position model. The record is from RNAcentral.